RNAcentral lists this ribosomal RNA (490 nucleotides) under uncultured bacterium. RNAcentral's name for it is "partial 16S ribosomal RNA". It matches the Rfam family "Bacterial small subunit ribosomal RNA", at positions 29 to 507 of the family's 1533-position model. The record is from RNAcentral.
AUUGAACGCUGGCGGCAGGCCUAACACAUGCAAGUCGAACGGUAACAGGAAGAAGCUUGCUUCUUUGCUGACGAGUGGCGGACGGGUGAGUAAUGUCUGGGAAACUGCCUGAUGGAGGGGGAUAACUACUGGAAACGGUAGCUAAUACCGCAUAACGUCGCAAGACCAAAGAGGGGGACCUUCGGGCCUCUGGCCAUCGGAUUUGCCCAGGUGGGAUUAGCGAGUAGGUGGGGUAACGGCUCACCGAGGCGACGACCCCUAGCUGGUCUGAGAGGAUGACCGGCCACACUGGAACUGGGCCACGGUCCAGACUCCUACGGGGGGCAGCAGUGGGGAAUAUUGGACAGUGGGCGCAAGCCUGGUGCAGCCAUGCCGCGUGUAUGAAGAAGGCCUUCGGGUUGUAAAGUACGUUCAGCGGGGAGGAAGGGAGUAAAGUUAAUACCGUGGCUCAUUGACGUUACCCGAAGAAGAAGCACCGGCUAACUCCGUG